CGAGUAUCACUCAAUACAGAUAACGCUUGUCUCAGCGAGCUUUGACGUUUCACGAUUGAGUAUUCGGUUUCACUCGCGUUCCAAGUUUACUUAUCUUAUGCCAGUUUUAUGUCAUUGAAGUUCAAAAAAAGUUCAAUUUUUUACGUAUGAAUAAUGCUUAAAAUGAGGAAUUUGGAGUAGGAAUAUCAUAAUGGCAUUGCUAUCGAAAGAAAAAAAUGUUCUUCCAACUUGAUUUCGGAACAAGAUCACAAGCGAACGGAAGCCAUCUUAGAACCGUCGAAAAGUUGAUUCGCAAUGGCCUCUCUUUCUUCUACUGGUUCACGUUCCUGCUCCUCUUCUGAAUCUUGUUCCUCGACUCUUCGAAGGCGUUUAAAUCGUUUUUUCUGAACAAACAAAUUUCUUCUAUAAUGGCAUGGAAAACAAUCACAGGAAAUAAAUAAAGUCAACUCACCCUCUGAA
Long non-coding RNA from Venturia canescens, 459 nucleotides. RefSeq lists it as uncharacterized. The record is from RefSeq and is a predicted model, not a curated record. The transcript is spliced from 2 exons. NCBI's taxonomy places the organism in Eukaryota, Metazoa, Arthropoda, Insecta, Hymenoptera, Ichneumonidae.